RNAcentral lists this ribosomal RNA (497 nucleotides) under uncultured bacterium. Its description in RNAcentral is "partial 16S ribosomal RNA". It matches the Rfam family "Bacterial small subunit ribosomal RNA", at positions 28 to 507 of the family's 1533-position model. The record is from RNAcentral.
GAUGAACGCUGGCGGCGUGCCUAAUACAUGCAAGUCGAGCGAACAGACGAGGAGCUUGCUCCUCUGACGUUAGCGGCGGACGGGUGAGUAACACGUGGAUAACCUACCUAUAAGACUGGGAUAACUUCGGGAAACCGGAGCUAAUACCGGAUAAUAUAUUGAACCGCAUGGUUCAAUAGUGAAAGACGGUUUUGCUGUCACUUAUAGAUGGAUCCGCGCCGCAUUAGCUAGUUGGUAAGGUAACGGCUUACCAAGGCAACGAUGCGUAGCCGACCUGAGAGGGUGAUCGGCCACACUGGAGCGGGGACACGGUCCAGACUCCUACGGGAGGCAGCAGUAGGGAAUCUUACGCAAUGGGCGAAAGCCUGACGGAGCAACGCCGCGUGAGUGAUGAAGGUCUUCGGAUCGUAAAACUCUGUUAUUAGGGAAGAACAAAUGUGUAAGUAACUAUGCACGUCUUGACGGUACCUAAUCAGAAAGCCACGGCUAACUACGUG